This is a long non-coding RNA of Pygocentrus nattereri (red-bellied piranha), 284 nucleotides long. The record is from Ensembl. Lineage: Eukaryota; Metazoa; Chordata; Actinopteri; Characiformes; Serrasalmidae.
GUGAUGAAUGUGGUUCUCAAACAUUUUGGGGCUUGACCCCUUUUCCUUUCAUUCCCUGUAUCAGGGGUGGCGAACUAAGGUGCUGGAAGGCCAAUGUCUAGGAGAGUCUGGUGACUUUCCUGCUCUUAACACACCAACAAACCACCAAAACUGUGCAGGACUCAAUUCAUCCAGGACCAGAGUGUGCCAGCACAGGCAAUGGUGGAUUAUGGAUUCUACUCAUUCUGGAGAGUCUUCCUUACAGCUGGAAGUCCCCAAAUAAAAGCUGCUCAGCUAUUUAUUAC